AGGAGACACGGGAUUACCUCAGUAACGGCGAGUGAAGCGGUAACAGCUCAAAUUUGAAAUCUGGGUCUUUCAGGCUCCGAGUUGUAAUUUGUAGAAGAUGCUUUGGGUGCGGCCCCGGUCUAAGUUCCUUGGAACAGGACGUCAUAGAGGGUGAGAAUCCCGUAUGUGAUCGGUGGCUUGCGCCCGUGUAAAGCUCUUUCGACGAGUCGGGUUGUUUGGGAAUGCAGCUCUAAAUGGGUGGUAAAUUUCAUCUAAAGCUAAAUAUUGGCCAGAGACCGAUAGCGCACAAGUAGAGUGAUCGAAAGAUGAAAAGCACUUUGGAAAGAGAGUUAAACAGUACGUGAAAUUGUUGAAAGGGAAGCGCUUGCAACCAGACUUGCGCGGGGUUGAUCAUCCGGGGUUCUCCCCGGUGCACUCGGCCUCGCUCAGGCCAGCAUCGGUUUCGGUGGUUGGAUAAAGGCCUUGGGAAUGUGACUCCUUUCGGGGAGUGUUAUAGCCCUCGGUGCAAUGCAGCCUACCGGGACCGAGGACCGCGCUUCGGCUAGGAUGCUGGCGUAAUGGUUGUAAGCGACCCGUCUUGAAACACGGACCAAGGAGUCUAACAUCUAUGCGAGUGUUUGGGUGUCAAACCCAUACGCGUAAUGAAAGUGAACGGAGGUGAGAACCCUUAAGGGUGCAUCAUCGACCGAUCCUGAUGUCUUCGGAUGGAUUUGAGUAAGAGCAUAGCUGUUGGGACCCGAAAGAUGGUGAACUAUGCCUGAAUAGGGUGAAGCCAGAGGAAACUCUGGUGGAGGCUCGCAGCGGUUCUGACGUGCAAAUCGAUCGUCAAAUUUGGGUAUAGGGGCGAAAGACUAAUCGACCAUCAGG
This 867-nucleotide ribosomal RNA is filed under the name Dermateaceae sp. RNAcentral describes it as "partial 28S ribosomal RNA". It matches the Rfam family "Eukaryotic large subunit ribosomal RNA", at positions 56 to 947 of the family's 3401-position model. The record is from RNAcentral. Lineage: Eukaryota; Fungi; Ascomycota; Leotiomycetes; Helotiales; Dermateaceae.